RNAcentral lists this ribosomal RNA (933 nucleotides) under Acinetobacter junii. Its description in RNAcentral is "bacterial SSU rRNA". It matches the Rfam family "Bacterial small subunit ribosomal RNA", at positions 65 to 992 of the family's 1533-position model. Lineage: Bacteria; Pseudomonadati; Pseudomonadota; Gammaproteobacteria; Moraxellales; Moraxellaceae. The record is from RNAcentral.
AGCGGAGAUGAGGUGCUUGCACCUUAUCUUAGCGGCGGACGGGUGAGUAAUGCUUAGGAAUCUGCCUAUUAGUGGGGGACAACAUUCCGAAAGGAAUGCUAAUACCGCAUACGUCCUACGGGAGAAAGCAGGGGAUCUUCGGACCUUGCGCUAAUAGAUGAGCCUAAGUCGGAUUAGCUAGUUGGUGGGGUAAAGGCCUACCAAGGCGACGAUCUGUAGCGGGUCUGAGAGGAUGAUCCGCCACACUGGGACUGAGACACGGCCCAGACUCCUACGGGAGGCAGCAGUGGGGAAUAUUGGACAAUGGGGGGAACCCUGAUCCAGCCAUGCCGCGUGUGUGAAGAAGGCCUUAUGGUUGUAAAGCACUUUAAGCGAGGAGGAGGCUACUGAGACUAAUACUCUUGGAUAGUGGACGUUACUCGCAGAAUAAGCACCGGCUAACUCUGUGCCAGCAGCCGCGGUAAUACAGAGGGUGCGAGCGUUAAUCGGAUUUACUGGGCGUAAAGCGUGCGUAGGCGGCUUUUUAAGUCGGAUGUGAAAUCCCCGAGCUUAACUUGGGAAUUGCAUUCGAUACUGGGAAGCUAGAGUAUGGGAGAGGAUGGUAGAAUUCCAGGUGUAGCGGUGAAAUGCGUAGAGAUCUGGAGGAAUACCGAUGGCGAAGGCAGCCAUCUGGCCUAAUACUGACGCUGAGGUACGAAAGCAUGGGGAGCAAACAGGAUUAGAUACCCUGGUAGUCCAUGCCGUAAACGAUGUCUACUAGCCGUUGGGGCCUUUGAGGCUUUAGUGGCGCAGCUAACGCGAUAAGUAGACCGCCUGGGGAGUACGGUCGCAAGACUAAAACUCAAAUGAAUUGACGGGGGCCCGCACAAGCGGUGGAGCAUGUGGUUUAAUUCGAUGCAACGCGAAGAACCUUACCUGGCCUUGACAUACUAG